GUCCUGGUCUGGUGAACGAAUGAGGAGGAGGGAAGCUCCGCGAUUCAAGUUUGAAGAUGCCUUGCAAACAAAGACACAUUAAACAAAAAAGAAAGGAGCUACUUGAAGCUGCUAAAAGUAGCAGAUCCCUUACCAACUGGGUGAAAAAAAGUACUGCAGUUCCAGAAUUUGCCACAUUUGGGAUGGGGGUUAUUCAAGACCAGUGAGACCAUCCUUUUUAGAGUGAUCUUCACCUGGCCUGCAAGGAGGCUACAACAAGAAAUAAUUUCAAACCUAAUUUUUAUCACUUUAUUCAACUUCGUAAGUUAUUACAUAUUG
This is a long non-coding RNA of Sphaeramia orbicularis (orbiculate cardinalfish), 318 nucleotides long. RefSeq lists it as uncharacterized. The transcript has 3 exons. NCBI's taxonomy places the organism in Eukaryota, Metazoa, Chordata, Actinopteri, Kurtiformes, Apogonidae. The record is from RefSeq and is a predicted model, not a curated record.